Molecule: ribosomal RNA, 429 nt
Filed under: Acidobacteriota bacterium
Lineage: Bacteria; Pseudomonadati; Acidobacteriota
Description: Acidobacteria bacterium partial 16S ribosomal RNA
Rfam family: Bacterial small subunit ribosomal RNA
Source: RNAcentral
UAGGGAAUCUUCGGCAAUGGGGGCAACCCUGACCGAGCAACGCCGCGUGAGUGAAGAAGGUUUUCGGAUCGUAAAGCUCUGUUGUAAGUCAAGAACGGGUGUGAGAGUGGAAAGUUCACACUGUGACGGUAGCUUACCAGAAAGGGACGGCUAACUACGUGCCAGCAGCCGCGGUAAUACGUAGGUCCCGAGUGUUGUCCGGAUUUAUUGGGCGUAAAGCGAGCGCAGGCGGUUUGAUAAGUCUGAAGUUAAAGGCUGUGGCUCAACCAUAGUUCGCUUUGGAAACUGUCAAACUUGAGUGCAGAAGGGGAGAGUGAAAUUCCAUGUGUAGCGGUGAAAUGCGUGGUUAUAUGGAGGAACACCGGUGGCGAAAGCGGCUCUCUGGUCUGUAACUGACGUUGAGGCUCGAAAGCGUGGGGAGCGAACAGG